Molecule: ribosomal RNA, 492 nt
Filed under: uncultured bacterium
Lineage: Bacteria
Description: partial 16S ribosomal RNA
Rfam family: Bacterial small subunit ribosomal RNA
Source: RNAcentral
AGUGAACGCUGGCGGUAGGCCUAACACAUGCAAGUCGAACGGCAGCACAGUAAGAGCUUGCUCUUACGGGUGGCGAGUGGCGUACGGGUGAGGACUACAUCGGAAUCUACUUUUUCGUGGGGGAUAACGUAGGGAAACUUACGCUAAUACCGCAUACGACCUACGGGUGAAAGCAGGGGAUCUUCGGACCUUGCGCGAUUGAAUGAGCCGAUGUCGGAUUAGCUAGUUGGCGGGGUAAAGGCCCACCAAGGCGACGAUCCGUAGCUGGUCUGAGAGGAUGAUCAGCCACACUGGAACUGAGACACGGUCCAGACUCCUACGGGAGGCAGCAGUGGGGAAUAUUGGACAAUGGGCGCAAGCCUGAUCCAGCCAUACCGCGUGGGUGAAGAAGGCCUUCGGGUUGUAAAGCCCUUUUGUUGGGAAAGAAAAGCAGCAGGUUAAUACCCCGCUGUUCUGACGGUACCCAAAGAAUAAGCACCGGCUAACUUCGUG